This 1333-nucleotide ribosomal RNA is filed under the name Candidatus Woesebacteria bacterium RBG_19FT_COMBO_42_9. RNAcentral's name for it is "bacterial SSU rRNA". It matches the Rfam family "Bacterial small subunit ribosomal RNA". Lineage: Bacteria; Candidatus Woeseibacteriota. The record is from RNAcentral.
UUUUUUUGAGAAUUUGAUCCUGGUUCAGGAUGAACGCUAGCGGUGCGCCUUAAGCAUGCAAAUCGAGCGGGGUCCGCAAGGACUCAGCGGUGGACGGGUGAGUAACACGUAGGAAUCUACCCUUUGGUGGGGAAUAGCCCUCCGAAAGGAGGGGUAAUACCGCAUAACUCUGUAAGGAAAAAGGGCUUAACUGCCCGCCGAAGGAUGAGCCUGCGACCUAUCAGCUUGUUGGUGAGGUAAUGGCUUACCAAGGCUUUGACGGGUAGCUGGACUGAGAGGUUGGUCAGCCACAAUGCUACUGAGAUACGGAGCAUACAUCUACGGAUGGCAGCAACUGGGAAUCAUGCGCAAUGGGCGAAAGCCUGACGCUGCGACACCGCGUGGAGGAUGAAGGUUUUCGGAUCGUAAACUCCUUUUUUCUAAUUAUCAUGAUUAGAAGAAUAAGCACCUGCAAACUACGUGCCAGAAGCCUCGGUAAUACGUAGGGUGCAAGCGUUAUCCGGAUUUAUUGGGCGUAAAGAGUUUCGUAGGCGUUUGAUUAAGUUUUUGGUUAAAGCCCAAAGCUUAACUUUGGAAAAGCCAAAAAGACUAAUUGAAUAGAGAGUCUCAGGGGAUGCUGGAACACUCAGUGUAGGGGUGAAAUCCGUUGAUAUUGAGUGGAAUACCAAGGGCGAAGGCGAGCAUCUGGGGGACUUCUGACGCUGAUGAACGAAAGCUAGGGGAGCAAAGCAGAUUAGAGACCUGCGUAGUCCUAGCCGUAAACAAUCCUCGCUAGAUUUCUUUAACAUUCGUUGAGGGAGUCGUAAGUUAACACGUUAAGCGAGGCGCCUGGGGAGUACGGCCGCAAGGCUAAAACUCAAAGGAAUUGACGGGGACCCGCACAACCAGUGGAGCAUGUGGUUUAAUUCGACACGAAGCGAAAAACCUUACCUGGGCUUGAAAUCCAAGCGUUCUAUUUCCGGGAAACCGGAGAAAUCCGCAAGGAGGCUUGGACAGCUGCUGCAUGGCUGUCGUCAGCUCGUGCCGUGAGGUGUAUUCUUAAGUGAAACAACGAGCGCAACCCCCAUUCUAUGUUAAAUUUUCAUAGAAGACUGCCUGUUUUUUAAACAGGAGGAAGGAGGGGACGACGUCAAGUCAGCACGGCGCUUAUGUCCAGGGCAACACACAUCCUACAAUGGCGAAAAACAAUGGGCAGCCAAGCCGUAAGGUGGAGCUAAUCCCUGAAAUUUCGCCUCAGUUCAGAUUGAGGGCUGAAAUUCGCCCUCAUGAAGUUGGAAUUGGUAGUAAUCGCGGAUCAGCAGGCCGCGGUGAAUACGUUCUCGGGUCUUGUACA